This 253-nucleotide ribosomal RNA is filed under the name uncultured bacterium. RNAcentral describes it as "partial 16S ribosomal RNA". It matches the Rfam family "Bacterial small subunit ribosomal RNA", at positions 524 to 776 of the family's 1533-position model. The record is from RNAcentral.
UACGGAGGGUGCAAGCGUUAUCCGGAUUCAUUGGGUUUAAAGGGUCCGUAGGUGGAUUAGUAAGUCAGUGGUGAAAUCCUACAGCUCAACUGUAGAACUGCCAUAGAUACUGCUAGUCUUGAGUAAAGUUGAAGUAGCUAGAAUAUGUAGUGUAGCGGUGAAAUGCAUAGAUAUUACAUAGAAUACCGAUUGCGAAGGCAGGUUACUAAGCUUUAACUGACACUGAUGGACGAAAGCGUGGGGAGCGAACAGG